RNAcentral lists this ribosomal RNA (253 nucleotides) under uncultured bacterium. RNAcentral describes it as "partial 16S ribosomal RNA". It matches the Rfam family "Bacterial small subunit ribosomal RNA", at positions 524 to 776 of the family's 1533-position model. The record is from RNAcentral.
UACGGGGGGAGCAAGCGUUGUUCGGAUUUACUGGGCGUAAAGGGCGCGUAGGCGGCGCAACAAGUCACUUGUGAAAUCUCCGGGCUUAACCCGGAGCGGCCAAGUGAUACUGUCGUGCUAGAGUGCGGAAGGGGCUACUGGAAUUCUCGGUGUAGCGGUGAAAUGCGUAGAUAUCGAGAGGAACACCUGCGGCGAAGGCGGGUAGCUGGGCCGACACUGACGCUGAGGCGCGAAAGCCAAGGGAGCGAACGGG